This 1059-nucleotide ribosomal RNA is filed under the name uncultured Cryobacterium sp. Its description in RNAcentral is "bacterial SSU rRNA". It matches the Rfam family "Bacterial small subunit ribosomal RNA", at positions 337 to 1394 of the family's 1533-position model. Lineage: Bacteria; Bacillati; Actinomycetota; Actinomycetes; Micrococcales; Microbacteriaceae. The record is from RNAcentral.
UCCUACGGGAGGCAGCAGUGGGGAAUAUUGCACAAUGGGCGCAAGCCUGAUGCAGCAACGCCGCGUGAGGGACGAAGGCCUUCGGGUUGUAAACCUCUUUUAGUAGGGAAGAAGCGACUGGGUUUUCCUGGGAGUGACGGUACCUGCAGAAAAAGCACCGGCUAACUACGUGCCAGCAGCCGCGGUAAUACGUAGGGUGCAAGCGUUGUCCGGAAUUAUUGGGCGUAAAGAGCUCGUAGGCGGUUUGUCGCGUCUGCUGUGAAAACCCGAGGCUCAACCUCGGGCCUGCAGUGGGUACGGGCAGACUAGAGUGCGGUAGGGGAGAUUGGAAUUCCUGGUGUAGCGGUGGAAUGCGCAGAUAUCAGGAGGAACACCAAUGGCGAAGGCAGAUCUCUGGGCCGUAACUGACGCUGAGGAGCGAAAGCAUGGGGAGCGAACAGGAUUAGAUACCCUGGUAGUCCAUGCCGUAAACGUUGGGAACUAGAUGUGGGGACCAUUCCACGGUCUCCGUGUCGCAGCUAACGCAUUAAGUUCCCCGCCUGGGGAGUACGGCCGCAAGGCUAAAACUCAAAGGAAUUGACGGGGGCCCGCACAAGCGGCGGAGCAUGCGGAUUAAUUCGAUGCAACGCGAAGAACCUUACCAAGGCUUGACAUAUACCGGAAACGGCUGGAAACAGUCGCCCCGCAAGGUCGGUAUACAGGUGGUGCAUGGUUGUCGUCAGCUCGUGUCGUGAGAUGUUGGGUUAAGUCCCGCAACGAGCGCAACCCUCGUCCUAUGUUGCCAGCACGUAAUGGUGGGAACUCAUGGGAUACUGCCGGGGUCAACUCGGAGGAAGGUGGGGAUGACGUCAAAUCAUCAUGCCCCUUAUGUCUUGGGCUUCACGCAUGCUACAAUGGCCGGUACAAAGGGCUGCGAUACCGCAAGGUGGAGCGAAUCCCAAAAAGCCGGUCUCAGUUCGGAUUGAGGUCUGCAACUCGACCUCAUGAAGUCGGAGUCGCUAGUAAUCGCAGAUCAGCAGCGCUGCGGUGAAUACGUUCCCGGGCCUUGUACACACCGCC